UGGGGACAACGUUCGAAAGGAACGCUAAUACCGCANUACGUCCUACGGGAGAAAGCAGGGGACCUUCGGGCCUUGCGCUAUCAGAUGAGCCUAGGUCGGAUUAGCUAGUUGGUGAGGUAAUGGCUCACCAAGGCGACGAUCCGUAACUGGUAUGAGAGGAUGAUCAGUCACACUUGGAACUGAGACACGGUCCAGACUCCUACGGGAGGCAGCAGCC
This 217-nucleotide ribosomal RNA is filed under the name uncultured Pseudomonas sp. Its description in RNAcentral is "partial 16S ribosomal RNA". It matches the Rfam family "Bacterial small subunit ribosomal RNA", at positions 138 to 355 of the family's 1533-position model. The record is from RNAcentral. Lineage: Bacteria; Pseudomonadati; Pseudomonadota; Gammaproteobacteria; Pseudomonadales; Pseudomonadaceae.